GGCCGUGUGCACGGGAGCCCGGUGAGCCGGGCUGAGAGGGAGUACUCCGACUCCGACCGUAGAACCUGAUCCGGAUCAUGCCGGCGCAGGGAGUCUCCGCAGGGCGAGA
RNAcentral lists this non-coding RNA (109 nucleotides) under Brachybacterium sp. RNAcentral's name for it is "TPP sequence". It matches the Rfam family "TPP riboswitch aptamer (THI element)". Rfam says of the family: Vitamin B(1) in its active form thiamin pyrophosphate (TPP) is an essential coenzyme that is synthesised by coupling of pyrimidine and thiazole moieties in bacteria. The previously detected thiamin-regulatory element, thi box was extended, resulting in a new, highly conserved RNA secondary structure, the THI element, which is widely distributed in eubacteria and also occurs in some archaea. The record is from RNAcentral. Lineage: Bacteria; Bacillati; Actinomycetota; Actinomycetes; Micrococcales; Dermabacteraceae.